CUCUCUUCUUCCUUCCUUCUCUUCUUCCCCCUUCUCUCUUUUCUUCUCUUUUCUUUCAUUUUGGAAACUGAAAAGAAAAAAACAAACAAACAAAUGCCCUCUGGAAAUUAUUAAU
Molecule: non-coding RNA, 115 nt
Filed under: Paramoeba aestuarina
Lineage: Eukaryota; Discosea; Flabellinia; Dactylopodida; Paramoebidae
Source: RNAcentral